This 253-nucleotide ribosomal RNA is filed under the name uncultured bacterium. RNAcentral's name for it is "partial 16S ribosomal RNA". It matches the Rfam family "Bacterial small subunit ribosomal RNA", at positions 524 to 776 of the family's 1533-position model. The record is from RNAcentral.
UACAAAGGGGGCAAGCGUUGUUCGGAAUUACUGGGCGUAAAGGGCGCGUAGGCGGCCCGCUAAGUCGAACGUGAAAUCCCCAGGCUCAACCUGGGAACUGCGUCCGAUACUGGCAGGCUUGAAUCCGGGAGAGGGAUGUGGAAUUCCAGGUGUAGCGGUGAAAUGCGUAGAUAUCUGGAGGAACACCGGUGGCGAAGGCGGCAUCCUGGACCGACACUGACGCUGAGGAGCGAAAGCCAGGGGAGCAAACGGG